Long non-coding RNA from Pseudoliparis swirei, 1516 nucleotides. RefSeq lists it as uncharacterized. The record is from RefSeq and is a predicted model, not a curated record. The transcript is spliced from 2 exons. Lineage: Eukaryota; Metazoa; Chordata; Actinopteri; Perciformes; Liparidae.
UGAAAAAAAUGGAGGAAAAGAUUAUUGUCGCCGUCUGUGGGCACCCCGAACUUUACGAUACAACUCUUUAUGCUUACCGAAACCGGAGCUAUAAAGAUAAAGCGUGGAACAAGGUCGGAGAAGCCGUGGGACUACCUGGAGAUCUGCCGCCGGAGGUGGAAAAGUCUCAGAGACACGUAUCAAAGAGAGAAGAAGAGAGAGAGCAGCGCAGUGGGAGUGCAGCUCGGUCCACUAACAAGUGGAAGUCCUCUGCGGUCCUGUGGUUCCUCGACCCAUUUAUGACUCCGCCCCCGACGCGUCCGACGCGUCUGGUGUGAACACACUUUUUUCGACGCGCGUCAAGACUGCUGCGUCAGACGCGUAGAGAAUUUUUUCGACGCGUCCGGUGUGAACGCACCAUAAGGCACAGAACACACACACACACACACACACACACACACACACACAAUAACGAGCUCUCGUUCCACACGUUGUCCCCAGCUGUGAGGUCAGAGAGGAGACAUCUGUUGACGGGAGGGAACCUGAUGAGUGUGUGUUCCGUGUCAGCACACACACACACACACACACACAAUAACUGGGUCAACUCCAUUCCAGCACUCUCGACCAGCUGUUGUCACACACUGUUGAGAAUGUGCUUUUAUUUUCCUAAAGAAAAGCCAAAGUGGUGAAGACCAGGGGACCCACGUGGCCCCCGGGUGAGUCCACAACAAUGUAGCAUCAAUGUAGCAUCAAUGUAGCAACAAUGUAGCAACAAUGUAGCAUCAAUGUAGCAACAAUGUAGCAACAAUGUAGUAACAAUGUAGCAACAAUGUAGUAACAAUGUAGUAUCAAUGUAGCAACAAUGUAGCAUCAAUGUAGCAACAAUGUAGCAUCAAUGUAGUAACAAUGUAGCAACAAUGUAGCAUCAAUGUAGCAACAAUGUAGUAACAAUGUAGCAUCAAUGUAGCAUCAAUGUAGCAUCAAUACAGUGUUAAGUUGUAAUAGUUUAUUUUGAUAACAUCUGCAGAGGUCUUAUGUUUUAAAUUAAUACAUAUAGAAAGAUAUUAUAAUAGACUAUUAAGGAGAAUAUUGAUAUUGUUAUUAAUGUAUUAUGAAGCAUAGGGGUAAUGUUUACUCUAUGCUAAUGUAAAUGGCAAGAAUUAAUGUAAAUUGCAUGAGAGUGACUAUGUUAGUAUUAUAGAUUGACGAAGCCGGUUGAAUUCCGUGAAGUGACUUACAAUAACAAGAGACUUUUAUUGUGAAGGUGACUUUUAAUGCAGUCAAGAACAAAACGGGAAUCUUAUUGUGAAAAUACUUUAGCGACAGGACCGGAAGUGACGUUUCAACCGGUGAGAGAAAACUCCGCGUCUCAGAGAGACCGGUCUCUUUCUCAGGUAAGCCCCGAGGGGGGAGGCUGAGCUCCCGGGGGGAGCUGGGAGCCGGCGCCGGGAGCCGGGAGCUGGGAGCCGGGACACGGGGGAGAGCGCCUUGAAUGUUUGUUUUACACGUCCUGCCAUUAAAUGUUGAUAACUUCAUC